CCUGCUUUCACCAAUUGUCAACAAGUCCAAUUGAUCAAUCGUUGUCAAGACUCAAUUGUUGCUACUUCAAUUUUUAGUUUUACAAUCGAGAUAUUGUGUUCUUUUCUAUUGCUGUGAAGAAUCUUUUCAUUUCUGCUUCAACACUUUGUUCUGCUCCAAAUUUGAAAAGAAAAAAAAAAGUAAAAAAGUAAAAAGGAGGUCUCGUUGUCCAACAACAUUGAAAUCUCUUGAAAAAAGGAACCCAUUUAUCUGAGGAAGCUACUUCCAUAAAAAGUGAUAGAACUUGGUUCCUCCCGUAUACCUAUGGAACUGGGUUCCUCCCUCACUUCCUUCCUCAUUUGCCAUCUUUGCCCUUCAAGCUUCUCCCCCUCACUUCAACCAUUCGACCCAGAUGCGAUGGUGUGUGAUUGCUUCUCCCUCGACUCCAAGCUUCUCACCUUCUUUUUGCUCCAUGGACCCAGUUUACUCGCCUCUUGCGCUUCCCCUCCGUCCUUGCCUCAGUCUCGCACAAACCAAGCUCGCUCUUUAACUCGUCAUCUCAGCUCAAUCUAUCAAAUUCUCCGAUGCCAAUGGCUCUGUCUCGCCGGGCACUGGAGAUUCCCCUUGUGAACAACACAGUUUUUCACCUUAGUGUCAGGGGAGGGGAUCGCCGGUGUACGUCACGCUCCCGUUAGAUGCUGUGGGUUUGAAGGGGCGAGUCUUGAGGCGAGAGCUAUGAUUCUUUUGUCUUUCUGGGUUGAUUUUCUUCUUCUUCUUCAGAUCUCCUUCUCCUCCUUCAUCUCGCCAUUCCUUCAUCCAUCUUCUUUGUCAAUCUGCUUCAAUUCUUUGAUUUGUGGCUUUCUGGUAUUUGGCUUUGAUUUCUUGUCUGAAGUUGUGCUAUUUUUUUGGCGAUUGAUUGUUGUUGAGUUUUGAAUUGAUUAUUUUUCUGGAAAUUAUUGUUUAGCUGUGGAUUGAUUA
Molecule: long non-coding RNA, 957 nt
Organism: Prosopis cineraria
Lineage: Eukaryota; Viridiplantae; Streptophyta; Magnoliopsida; Fabales; Fabaceae
Exons: 3
Source: RefSeq, a predicted model, not a curated record